Molecule: ribosomal RNA, 402 nt
Filed under: uncultured bacterium
Lineage: Bacteria
Description: bacterial SSU rRNA
Rfam family: Bacterial small subunit ribosomal RNA
Source: RNAcentral
GGAAUAUUGUGCAAUGAGCGAAAGCUUGACACAGCGACACCGCGUGUGGGAUGACGGUUCUAGGAUUGUAAACCACUUUCAGGAGGGAAGAAAAUGACGGUACCUCCACAAGAAGCCCCGGCCAACUACGUGCCAGCAGCCGCGGUAAUACGUAGGGGGCGAGCGUUGUCCGGAUUUAUUGGGCGUAAAGAGCUCGUAGGCGGUUCAACAAGUCGGUCGUGAAAGUUUAGGGCUUAACCCUGAAAUGUCGAUCGAUACUGUUGUGACUAGGAUAUGGUAGAGGUGAAUGGAAUUCCGAGUGUAGCGGUGAAAUGCGUAGAUAUUCGGAGGAACACCAAUUGCGAAGGCAGUUCACUGGACCAUUAUCGACGCUCAGGAGCGAAAGCUAGGGGAGCAAACAGG